AAGAUCUCAGACGAUGACGGGUAGCCGGCCUGAGAGGGCGACCGGCCACACUGGGACUGAGACACGGCCCAGACUCCUACGGGAGGCAGCAGUGGGGAAUAUUGCACAAUGGGGGAAACCCUGAUGCAGCGACGCCGCGUGAGGGAUGACGGCCUUCGGGUUGUAAACCUCUUUCAGUAGGGGAGAAGCCAAUGUGACGGUCCCUGCCUAAGAAGCACCUGCUAACUACCUGCCAGCCACCGCCGUAAUACGUACGGCGGAAGCGUUGUCCGGAAUUAUUGGGCGUAAAGAGCUCGUAGGUGGGUGGUCGCGUCUGCCGGGAGAACCCAAGGCUCAACCUCCGGCGUGCGGGGGGUACGGGCAGGCUAAAUUGUGGUAGGGGAGACUGUCACUCCUGCUGGGUCGGUCAAAUGAAUGCAUAUCUAGAAGAACGAACAUGGCUGGCGCAGGUCUCUGGGCCAUUACUGACACUGACGAGCGAAAGCAUGGGUGGCGAACAGGAUUAGAUACCCUGGUAGUCCAUGCCGUAAACGUUGGGCACUACACUGUGGGGAACAUUCCACGUUUUCCGCGUCGUAGCUAACGCAUUAAGUGCCCCGCCCUGGGGGAGUACGGACGG
Molecule: ribosomal RNA, 619 nt
Filed under: uncultured Brachybacterium sp.
Lineage: Bacteria; Bacillati; Actinomycetota; Actinomycetes; Micrococcales; Dermabacteraceae
Description: bacterial SSU rRNA
Rfam family: Bacterial small subunit ribosomal RNA
Source: RNAcentral